This is a long non-coding RNA of Engraulis encrasicolus (European anchovy), 330 nucleotides long. RefSeq lists it as uncharacterized. Lineage: Eukaryota; Metazoa; Chordata; Actinopteri; Clupeiformes; Engraulidae. The transcript has 3 exons. The record is from RefSeq and is a predicted model, not a curated record.
AGAGAUGAUGACCCAUUCCUGAAGUUGGACGCCAGAAUGGAGGAAGGUGCUGUUUAAGAGCCUAGGCGGUGGAAGAAGCACUUGCAGGUAUGCUACUAACCAGGCUCCUCAACAUCAAUCCGAGACGGAAGAUGAACCGGGAUGAAGCGGUUAGAUUGAGACAAGGCGGCCGGAAACUUUGAUGACCUCAAUGACACUGGCUAGGUGAAGGACAUCAAGAAAAUGGCAUCCGGUCACCAGACAUCAGCUCAUAAGCCACAACGUCAUCAACCAUUUUGCGCCAAAAAUGAAGCCGUUCACAUACCAUGGCAUCCUAAGCAGGUAAUUUCA